Molecule: long non-coding RNA, 437 nt
Filed under: Lotus japonicus
Lineage: Eukaryota; Viridiplantae; Streptophyta; Magnoliopsida; Fabales; Fabaceae
Description: long non-coding RNA (LJAP_LNC001646)
Source: RNAcentral
AUCAAUUGGAACAUGCCUGCCAAGUCUUUCUAUGAGUGGAGCUGUAUGGGAUUUUUAUGGUAUUUGUGGCCGUGGAGGGUUUUUGCUUGGUUGGAUUGUUUAACUGUAUUUUGCUCCUGUGUGGUAGUAUCUAUUCCUGUUGGUAUGCUGCAGGUCUUAGUUUUUAGCUAUUUGGGUCUUUGCUGGUGGUUUUCUUUUUAGGUUCGUUGGCUUUUUUGGGGGUGGGUUUUGUAAUUCUUCCCCUGAAGUUUCAUCUUAAUCUUUGUGAACCGGUACUCUUUUUCCUCACUAGGUUUUUCCAAGGGGGUUUUCCCUGGUAAGGUUUUAAUGAGGCCUGUUCUCUUUGAUUUUCUUUAGGGGGAGGGGGUUGGGUAGGUUCUGGAUCUUCUUCAUCAGUUUAGGAGUAAGUCGUUUCUUUUUCCUUUUCUUCUCCAUUC